RNAcentral lists this ribosomal RNA (314 nucleotides) under uncultured bacterium. RNAcentral's name for it is "bacterial SSU rRNA". It matches the Rfam family "Bacterial small subunit ribosomal RNA", at positions 28 to 334 of the family's 1533-position model. The record is from RNAcentral.
GAUGAACGCUAGCGACAGGCCUAACACAUGCAAGUCGAGGGGCAUCAUGAUCCGUAGCAAUACGGGUUGAUGGCGACCGGCGCACGGGUGAGUAACGCGUAUGUAAUCUGCCUGUAACAGAGGGAUAACCCGGAGAAAUCCGGACUAAUACCUCAUAAUACACAGGAUUCGCAUGAGUUCUAUGUUAAAGGGAAUCGGUUACAGAUGAACAUGCGUUCCAUUAGUUGGUUGGCGGGGUAACGGCCCACCAAGGCUGCGAUGGAUAGGGGUUCUGAGAGGAAGGUCCCCCACACUGGUACUGAGACACGGACCAG